This 237-nucleotide ribosomal RNA is filed under the name Pelobates cultripes (western spadefoot toad). RNAcentral describes it as "SSU_rRNA_microsporidia". It matches the Rfam family "Eukaryotic small subunit ribosomal RNA", at positions 237 to 470 of the family's 1831-position model. Lineage: Eukaryota; Metazoa; Chordata; Amphibia; Anura; Pelobatidae. The record is from RNAcentral.
ACCCAGCUCGUCAUGCUAGAGCACUUUUUCAAUGUGCUCCCCAACGACAAAGAGAUGACGCAUUCGUAUGUCAAUCCAUAUCAACUUUCGAUGCCAUUUACUGCACCUACCAUGAUGACCACCGGUAACGGGGAAUCAGGGUUCGAUUCCAUACAGGGAUCCUGACAAACAGCUACCACAUGCAAGGAAGGCAGCAGGCGCACAAAUGACCCACUCCCGACGCGGGGAGGUAGUGAU